Molecule: RNA transcript, 5627 nt
Organism: Eleginops maclovinus (Patagonian blennie)
Lineage: Eukaryota; Metazoa; Chordata; Actinopteri; Perciformes; Eleginopidae
Gene: jak2b
Gene name: Janus kinase 2b
Exons: 24
Source: RefSeq, a predicted model, not a curated record
GUUGUCUGGCUUGGUCUCCGGCUGCGCAGUAGCUGCCACUGACAAACUAGAUACCUUCUCACAGUUAAAGGCAUUCAGUUGACCAGAUGUCAAUAAUGUCACUGUCGUUAUACUGCUGAAACCCCAGUUUCUGGCACAAUAAGAUGAUUGCCAGCAGAAGAUUUCUGUGUGUUUGGGCCAAUGUUUGAGGUAGCACGACGUGGUUCUAGCUAGCAUUAGCUUAAGUUAUAAGAUUGACAAGAUAGACGGCUAAAGUUCCUCCGGAGUGAGAUGGGUAACACUGAGCUGACCAGAGGUAGUUCAUGCAGCACGUUAGCCGGCUGAAUGCCACAUGGUAAUAAGAACAUUUCCAAAUGGAUUAAUCUUUCAAAACAGGUCGUUUUGUUAGGGCUUCAUUGUGAAUACUGGUUUUAAAGAAGCAGCGGUGUCUGGCCGUAGCUGUCAAAGUCUCGCUAGUCCUGGCUGCAGUGCUGGCCUAGGAAGCUAGCAGCAACACAGCUAGCUGCACGCCUGGCUCAUCCACCAAAGUUGCUUGUUGUUGAUGGCCUCCCUGCCAGCCAUGGAAACUGACACAUGCCCUGCUGUGCACCAAAAUGGGAACGCCCAUCGGGAAUCUCCGGAUACAAGGCCAGCCGCUGCUGUUCUAAGGCUUCAUUUCUACCACAGCGGCCAAGGAGUGGGCGACUGCAGCACUCUCAGCUACCCACCUGGAAACUAUGUAGCUGAGGAGUUGUGUAUAGAUGCAGCCAAGGCAUGCAGUAUAUCCCCUCUGUACUGUAACCUCUUUGGUCUCUUCCGAGAGAGAGACCGCCUGUGGUUUUCACCCAAUCACAUCUUCCAGCUGGACGAACAUGCUUCUGAGGAUGUGUUUUACCGAAUAAGGUACUACUUCCCUGGCUGGUACAGUGGAGGGGCAUCCCGGGCUUACCGAUACGGUGUCACCAAGGGAUCAGAAAGCCCAAUCCUUGAUGACUUUGUGAUGUCAUACCUCUUCUCUCAGUGGAGGAAUGACUUUGUUAAUGGCUUGGUGAAGAUCCCGAACUCCCAUGAGACUCAGGAGGAGUGCCUUGGUAUGGCUGUGCUCGAUAUGUCGAGAACAGCCAAAGAGAAACAGAUGUCACCGCUGGACAUCUACCACACGAUAAGCUACAAGUCUUUCUUGCCAAAAGAUAUGAGAGCUCAGAUCCAGGACUGCAACUUUGUGACACGCAAGCGUAUCCGAUUCCGUUUUAAGCGUUUUAUCCAGCAGUUCAGUCAGUGUCGUACCACAGCGCGUGACCUCAAGCUCAAAUACCUGAUCAGCAUGGAGUCCCUGGAUAAGGCGUUCUACACAGAGACCUUCCAGGUCAGGGAGCCAGUGAGUGGACAGGCUAUCAUCGUGGUGGCAGCGGACAUUGGCAUUCAGAGGUGUCGAGAGAAACUGAAAGACUCUGACCAGGAGCUGCAGACCUUUUGCGACUUCUCUGACGUCAUCGACAUGAGCAUCAAACAGGUCAUCAAGGAGGGAGCUGCAGAGAGUCGGGUGGUCACCAUCUCUAAACAAGAUGGGAAGAAUCUGGAGCUGGAGUUCCCCAGCCUUUAUGAAGCCCUGUCCUUUGUGUCCCUCAUCGACGGCUACUACCGCCUGACGACAGACGCACAUCACUACCUGUGUAAAGAAGUAGCUCCUCCCAGGCUGGUGGAGGCCAUUGCUUCCCAUUGCCAAGGCCCCAUCUCAAUGGAGUUUGCGAUCAACCGACUUCAGAGGUGUGGAAACAAGCGAGGAUUGUACAUUUUGAGGCGUAGCCCCAAAGAUUACAACAAGUAUUUUCUCACGUUCCCUGUUGAGGUGUACGGCGCUGUAGAAUACAAGCACUGCCAGAUAACCAGAUCUGACAGCAGGGAGUUUAACCUCAGUGGAACAAAAAGAAACUUCAGCAGCUUGCAGGAGCUUCUCAGCUGCUACCAAAAGGAAACUGUGCGCUCUGACAGCAUAAUUUUCCAAUUCAGCAAGUGCUGUCCACCUAAAUCCAAAGAAAUGUCUUGCCUCCUUGUAUGCAGAAGCAACAAGGGCUCUGAAGUGCCUCUGUCUCCUUCUCUACAUCGUAGAAACAUCAGUCAGAUGGUGUUUCACAAGAUCAGGAAAGAAGACCUUGAAUUUAUGGAGAGUCUCGGUCAAGGGACAUUCACUAAGAUAUUCAAAGGGGUCCGCAAAGAGGUGGGAGAUUAUGGACUCGUGCACCAAACUGAAGUUGUCAUGAAAGUCCUGGACCAGGCCCACCGAAACUACUCUGAGUCUUUCUUUGAAGCUGCCAGCAUGAUGAGCCAGUUGUCCCAUAAGCACCUGAUCCUUAACUAUGGUGUGUGUGUCUGCGGAGAUGAAAAUAUCAUGGUGCAGGAGCUUGUGAAGUUUGGUUCUCUGGACACCUACCUGAAGAAGAACAAGAACUUGAUAAACAUCCUGUGGAAGCUGGAGGUGGCUAAGCAGCUGGCCUGGGCCAUGAACUUCCUGGAGGAAAAGCAUCUUGUCCACGGGAAUGUCUGUGCAAAAAAUGUUCUUCUGAUCAGAGAGGAGGACCGGCGGACUGGGAACCGCCCCUUCAUCAAACUGAGUGACCCUGGCAUCAGCAUCAAUGUCCUGCCCAGAGAAAUCCUGAUUGAGAGGAUCCCUUGGGUGCCGCCUGAAUGUGUCGAGGACCCCACCAGCCUGAGCCUGGCUGCAGACAAGUGGAGCUUUGGCACCACACUCUGGGAGAUCUGCAGCGGUGGGGAGAAACCUUUAGCAACACUAGACAACACAAAGAAACCCCUGUUCUACGAGGAUCACCACCAGCUUCCUGCACCAAAGUGGACCGAACUGGCCAAUCUGAUCACCAGCUGCAUGGACUACGAGCCCGCGUUCAGGCCAUCGUUUCGCACCGUUAUCCGUGACCUCCACAGCCUCUUCACACCAGACUAUGAGUUGAUUGUGGACAGUGACAUCGUGCCAAACAGGACAGUGGGAUCCGGCUGGUCCACUGGGGGCUUUGAGAGCCAGGAGCCGGCCCAAUUUGAAGAGAGACACCUCAUAUUCCUACAGCAGCUGGGCAAGGGAAACUUUGGCAGCGUGGAGAUGUGUCGAUAUGACCCGCUUCAGGACAACACCGGAGAGGUCGUGGCCGUGAAGAAACUCCAGCACAGCACUGCAGAACACAUACGAGACUUUGAGCGAGAGAUCGAGAUCCUGAAGUCUCUGCAGCAUGAGAACAUCGUUAACUACAAAGGAGUUUGCUACAGUGCAGGACGACGAAAUCUCUGUCUCGUCAUGGAAUAUCUGCCCUAUGGAAGUCUGCGAGAUUACCUCAUGAAAAAUAAGAAGAGGAUCGACCACAAUAAGCUUGUGCAUUACACCUCGCAAAUCUGCAAGGGUAUGGAGUACCUGUCGAGUAAGCGUUAUAUCCACAGAGACUUGGCAACACGGAACAUCCUUGUGGAGAGUGAGCUGAGGGUGAAGAUCGGAGACUUCGGCCUUACCAAAGUUCUGCCUCAGGACAAAGAGUACUACAUGGUCAAAGAGCCAGGAGAGAGUCCCAUAUUUUGAAAAUGAUACUGUGGAACUGCGCUCCACACCCCGGGAAGAAGGAGGGAAAACUGCGGCUGGUUGCAGGAAAACUUUUAUUGUCUCUCUCUCAGCCUUUCGGCUAGACACACACAACUCUCUCUCGGCCUUUCGGCUAGACACACAAACUCUCUCUGCGAUGGUCCACCUAAGGCUCCGAUGGGCGCUCCGCUGCCUUCAGGAGCCCAGCCUACUGCAAGAGACCAGAACCAGGUUACCAACAUGCUUAUCUUGUGGUGGCGGCGGCCCCACAACCCGGACCAACUGUCCGACCUCCAUGCGCGGGUACUCCCGUCAGAAGUGGCCGGGCUGCCCACACCGCCAGCUCUCCUGCCCAGGCGUCUGAGGAGCCCCCCAGGGUGCCGCAUGACCAGACACAUAGGCUGGGCUCUGUGGAGAGAGAAGCAGAGGGGGAGAGGGCCGUGGUGGAGGAGCAUAGGCGGGAGGAGAGGGCGCAGCUGCCGCCAUUGCCGCCGCCUGGAACCUCCUCCGCGGAGCCGGGGUGGGCCGGCCCACUGGGACUGCCGGUGCUCGCGCUACCUCCUUCAGGCUCCGCCGGGGAAGGGAGAGAUGGUCCUCUGCGAGAACGACGGCUGCCUCAAGGCUGGCGGGGCGGUGGCACUGGACCCAGUUGGCCGUGGAGGAUGGCAGGCCGGCGAUGAAUUGCUCCAGUGCCACCUGCCCGACGACGUCCUCAGCGGAGUUUACUCCCGGGCGGAGCCAGCGCCUUACCGCAUCGAGGAGCUCCUGCGCGUAGGAGAAGUGGCGGCCGGCGUCCUCAUACAGAAGCCCCCUGAACCGGCGGCGAUAUCCUUCGGGCGUGCAGCCCAGCCGGUCCAGGAUGGCCUUCCGCAGGGGUGCGUAUUCGUAACGGGAGGACGCCGGCAUGCUGUGCGCCGCUAACUGGGCUUCCCCGGAGAGCAGAGGGAGCAGCCGCACAGCCCACUCCUCCUCCGGCCACCCACACGCCGCCGCCGUGCCCUCAAAGAUCCCCAGGUAUGCCUCCGUAUCAUCCUCGGCGGACAUCUUCGGGAGGGUAAUCGGCGGUGGCCUGGCCGGUUCGGCCGGCCGGGUGGCCGAGCGCUGCAGCAGCUCCUGCAGGAGAGCCCGGUCCUCGCUCUGGGACGCAGCGAGGUCCACGAGGGCUUGGGUCUGUUGUUGUUGUAGCGCGGUGGGCUCUGCUGUCCAUCUCCCUCCAUCGUCACCGUCUGAGGGUCCAGGGUUCAAGUCCCUGUUCAGGCGCCACUUGUGGAGCUGCGCUCCACACCCCGGGAAGAAGGAGGAAAAACUGCGGCUGGUUGCAGGAAAACUUUUAUUGUCUCUCUCGCAGCCUUUCGGCUAGACACACACAACUCUCUCUCGGCCUUUCGGCUAGACACACAAACUCUCUCUGCGAGGGUCGACCUUUUGCUAUGAUUUUGUUUGGAAACUAAAAUACCUGUCCUACUGUUGAAAUCAAUUUGAAACUCACAAGCUUCUUAAGACAAAGCACAUCAUAGAGAGAGAGAGUGAUACAGUGUGCUAUUUUUUUAGGUAUGCCCAGCCUACUGCAAGAGACCAGAACCAGGUUACCAACAUUCUUAUCUUGUGAGACUAAUUACCUGAUUCUGGCCAGCUGUCUGAGUCACUCCCCUCCCCCUGCCAGCAGCCAGCGCCAUAACCACGCCCCCCUGCCACAGAUACAUUAUCAGAAUCCAAGUUGGGAAUACCUGUCCUACUGUUGAAAUCAAUUUGAAACUCACAAGCUUCUUAAGACAAAGCACAUCAUAGAGAGAGAGUGAUACAGUGUGCUAUUUUUUUAGGUAUGCCCCUGAGUCGUUAACAGAGAGCAAGUUCUCUGUGGCGUCAGAUGUCUGGAGCUUUGGAGUCGUGCUUUAUGAGCUCUUCACCCACAGCGAAAAGACCUCCAGCCCUCCUGCAGUUUUCAUGUCCAUGAUGGGAAAUGACAAGCAGGGACAGCUGAUCGUCUAUCACCUCAUCGAGCUCCUCAAAUCAGGCAGCAGGCUGCCUCAACCUCUGGGGUGUCCCGCAGAGAUACAACAGAUCACAG